Molecule: small RNA, 295 nt
Filed under: Streptomyces sp. MnatMP-M17
Lineage: Bacteria; Bacillati; Actinomycetota; Actinomycetes; Kitasatosporales; Streptomycetaceae
Description: 5' ureB small RNA
Rfam family: 5' ureB small RNA
Source: Rfam by way of RNAcentral
UGGUCGACAAUGGUCGGCGAGAUGAAGUGGACAUGCGCGUCGAUCGCUCCGGCGGUGACGAUCUUCCCGUUGCCCGCGAUGACCUCGGUCUCGGGACCGAUGACCAGAUCGGGAUGGACACCGUCCAUGGUGUCGGGAUUGCCCGCCUUGCCGAUCCCGGUGAUCCGGCCGUCCCGUACUCCGAUGUCGGCCUUGACGAUGCCCCAGUGGUCGAUGAUCAGGGCGCCGGUGAUCACGGUGUCGGGCGCGCCCUCGGCCCGUGUCGUACGGGACUGGCCCAUCGACUCGCGGAUCA